This is a small nucleolar RNA of Schizosaccharomyces osmophilus, 169 nucleotides long. The record is from RefSeq and is a predicted model, not a curated record. NCBI's taxonomy places the organism in Eukaryota, Fungi, Ascomycota, Schizosaccharomycetes, Schizosaccharomycetales, Schizosaccharomycetaceae.
AUCGUGCGGUUAUAUACCGACGCCCACAUUCGUGUUGCUCGCUUUUCGAUUAUUUUUGUGGAAUGGUUUGAGCGUCAGACGUGGGCCAGAGUCAAAUGGACGUCUUAGUAUCCAUACAGUGAUCGUUGAAUUAUCAAGCGGUCAUUGUGGGUCGGUGGUUCAGAAAUGU